Danio rerio (zebrafish) is the source of this 2535-nucleotide RNA transcript. It is a transcript of the gene named coiled-coil domain containing 85A, with no coding region annotated. The record is from RefSeq and is marked validated. Lineage: Eukaryota; Metazoa; Chordata; Actinopteri; Cypriniformes; Danionidae.
AUCACAACGCACAGUUUGAGAGGCUGCUGUCACGCUCCAUGCGCACAGACGCGACCAGCCGUGCGCCUUCCUAAUGCGCCCGUACAGCGGCCACGGGUUCAGCAUAACACUGAGCUGGACAUGAUGCUGACGGACAGAUGGAAACAGACACAGUCUCUGCCGUAGAGACAGAGUGUCCAUCCGUAUUACGAGUCCGUGAGGAGGUGAAGUAUUUGCCGGGUCUCUAGGGCUGCAUCCCUGUCUUCAAAGUGGACAGCAUGGGCAGAACAGCUAUCGUUAAAAUGAUAGUAUCAAAAAUUCGAUCCUAACGAGAAGGAAUUUGCAGAAAAGGUGCCAACGGCGGAUUUAAUCGGCUUGUCGGUGAUUUAUUUCAUAGCCUAGCAGUUCAAGAAGUUGGAAGGGAGGAUGGAGAAGCCUAGUCAGCCUCAGCCGCAUUCUGGUGGAUCCAAAAGCACAGAAGGUCCCUCUGAGGACCUUUCCAAACUUACGGACGAGGAGCUUCUGAAAUGGAGCAAGGAGGAGCUGGUUCGCCGGUUGCGCAGAGCCGAAGCCGAGAAGAUGAGCGUAAUAGUGGACCACAGCAAUCUCAUCCGAGAGGUAAAUCGCAGGCUUCAGCAGCACCUCAACGAGAUACGAGGACUUAAGGAGGUGAAUCAGAAGCUGCAAGAGGACAACCAGGAGCUGCGGGACCUCUGCUGCUUUCUAGAUGAUGACCGGCAAAAAGGGAAGAAAGUGUCAAGGGAGUGGCAGCGCCUGGGCCGCUACAGCGCAGGGAUUAUGCGUAAGGAGGUGACACUAUACCUGCAGAAACUGAAAGAGCUGGAGCAGAGGCAGGAGGAAGUAGUGAGGGAGAACCUAGAACUGAGAGAGCUGUGCCUAAUGCUGGAUGAGGAGAAGGGAUCUGGAGGUACCAGCGGGUCAGUAGGCACCGGUGGACCGGCAGGCUGCAGGAAUUCAAUCGAUAGUCAGAGCAGCUUGUCUCAUGCCAGCGGUCCUGGGCCUGGUUUACUAAGGGAUGUAGGUGAUGGGAGCAGUACCUCCAGCGCGGGCAGCACUGACAGCCCUGACCAUCUCACACAUAAGCAGCAGCUGUUGGGUGGCCCGGUUGGAGGCAGUCCUGACCACCUACAUAAGCCAGGCUCAGGGGAGGAGGCACCGGGUCCAGAGAAUCCUAGCCGCAGGCAUAGCACCAGCCAGGAGUAUGCAGCACAUACCUUUCCCCAAGUGUGCCGGUCCCGCUGUGGAUCCUUCUCCAGUCCAGAUCACAAGGGACUACGAGGUCUUAGUCCAGAGAAACUUGCCAAAAGGGGCAGUCCAGAGCAAUUCUCUAAACACCUGUUGGUUUCUUCUCAACCGCCCGGCAGCCCGGACCUUUUUCAGAAGCACAGGGGUAGCAUGGGGAGUGUGUGUGGGAGUCCAGAGCCCAAACAGAUAUUAUCAGGGACACCGGAGCACCUACAGAAGGGCCGUGUCAUAUCUGGGAGCCCUGAGUUGUUGAGGCAUCAACACGUCAAGUUUGGCAGUCCCGGCCGAGAGGUGGUACAGAAGCGGCCGGGCGUAGAGGAGAUGUCCCCUCAUCACCGGAGCAUCUAUAGCGGUAUGAACGGUGGGUCCGACUGGAGCCUGCUGUAGCACCCACAGUGACAUACAUGGAGUCCCAUUUGAGCACACCACAUACAGAGGGCAUAGUCAUCCUGGAGACAGCAAAGCCCUAAUUUCCGGCCAGGCACUAAACCAUCUCAUUCAGCCAGCCAUGUUCUGCAUUUAGUUUAGUUUUGCUUUGCUCAGUUCAGGAGAUGCAAUGGCCAGAUAGUGAAGGAGCUUUAGUGCCUGGCUAGAGCAGAACAUUUCAUCUCUGGUAAAUGUUAGUGGUGUCCAGUCUUGGUCCUCUCAGGCCAUGCUUUUAGCAGGCUUUAACUGCCUCCUAUCAAUCAGCCUCAGUACCUGUGCCUCCGAAGCCAUUUUUAUGCACUGGAACCCAUCUGAGGGAACACUUUAAUCAAUCAAUCAAUCAAAGACCAAAAAGCUCAGAGGCCCAACAAAAAGCCAGAAGACAGUGCUGCCCGGCAGGACCAGGAGUGGACACCAUUGUAUUUGCUUUAUGCAUGCAGCUCUGAUAUCUGCUGGCUGUUGCACCAGCGCCUGUAGAAGUGUCAAGCUUUGGGACAGUUUUGAUACCUCCUGACCAAUGCCUUGACCGGAUCCAGCGGUGGGACUGUGGCCCUGAAAGAGGAUCCCUGUUGCUUUAAUAUGACUUGCACUGACAGAAAUGAAGGGCGAAGAUGGAAAAGUGUGAUUGAAAGACAAGAACUUCUAGCAGCAGCCAGUGUCUCUCGUCGCCCUCCAUCAACAUGCUGGUUCCUGCUGGUCUCCUAAAACAACUUACAGCCCUGCACAAACCCAGGCCUGGGGGAGGAAUUCCUUCUGAUUUCAAAAGCUGGAACAUGAUUGCCAAAAGGAUUUCUCACAUGGGAGAUUAAAACAUCUCUCUUUUGCCAACAAAAUAGACCUACCUCCUUUGAAUGAAAGCAGACG